CUGACUGGCAUUCCUAUUUUCAAAUUUGAUGGGAAGAUGUCGAAUUCAGGUAAUCCAUUUUGGUUUCUUCUCCGUAGUUUCUAAGAUUCAAAUCUUCUUCAUCGUUACACUCGCAGAGUUUUGCAUUGUUGUCUACGGACAAGUUCUCUGCAUUCCUGAUUGUUGCCAGAACAUAGUUGUUCAUUGUUCUAAACUAAGUCGGACAUUUUUUUUAUGUUCUUUCACGAAGUCCAAUUCUUCACCGUUGGUUUUUUCUAAAUACGAAGUCUAAAGUUAUUUCUGGCAUUUGAGUUUACUGCGCCAAGAUAUUACAAUCUAUAUUAGGCUUUUUCUCAGCAGAUGAUAAACUAUUUUAUGAGAUUUGAUGUAUUAUGGCUCGGGAUUAGAAAGAUAAUCACAUUGCAAUUUCCAGAAUUCUCUCUCCGUCGGAAUAAGUUGCUUUCACUCAAUUCAAGUAACUUUCUGGAAAGCAACUCCUCUGGUAUGAAUUACUUGCUAACAUAUCGUAUUCAACAAUUUUAAUUUCUGUCUCCGUUGAUUUGUUUUCAACUCAUCUCUUUUUUACUUCGCUUUUGCAACUUGUGAUUGGUAUUCUGUAUAAUUAUCAUAAACGAUUUCAGAUCUGUCUUUUCUGCAGACAGUAUUUUAUGAUUUUACUACAGAUAAUUAUUUGUUUCAGGCGAAUUUCUAAAUGGGGUUAAAGCCGAAUACUCUGAUCAGAUCAAUAAUUUGACUAUGUUAUGAUUAAGGUGAAGUAUUUUCUGGUGAUUAUAUCAAGAAUUUCAUAGUGUUAUGGUUAACAUGUGACACAGUCAUCAUAUUCAAUUUACAUGAGCUCAGAAUUUUUUCCUGCUGCAUCGCUAGCUUGAGUAUCAGAAACCAGAUUGCUGUUCUUUGGAAUUCUGAUUUCUAAGAAUAUGUCAUUGUACAAGUAUACCUCCAUCUUUUUGCAGUCUGCAUCUUCUGGCAACUCAAGCCUUCUGACAUAACCAUUUUCCCACCAUUUCCCACUUCUCCAAUCCUUCGUUUUAUUCUCUCUCUGCUGCUUCCACUCUCCACUAAUUUCCAUCACCUUCCAAUUAUCAACAUAGAUUUGUACAUUACUUUUCCCACUUCCUGUUUCCACAAUCAAAUUGCUUGAUUAGUACUCUGCAACAUAAGUUUUUAACUUGUUAAAUCGAACCUGCCAAACAAAACUGAUGAAGGGCACCCCAUAGAUUCACUGGUACCACCCUGUUCAAUUUCAAUCUUGACAAAUUUUAGCUGUAAAAACCCUUGGUUGUGUGAUAUUAAGAAGUUAGGUUUUUCACUAUUGGUCUAGCUUCUGAGAUAACCAAUUCAAUGACUUAUUGAAGAAAUUAUCAUUGGACAUGAUUAAGAAGAGGUUUGAGCAAUCCUUACCUGGAAGUUGUGCUUUUAGUACAUAUGCUUGAUCUGUCUGAAACCAAUCGACGCUGCAGUGACCCGAGCUCCGAAGACUUGACAGUAGGAUAUCCGACUCAAAC
Molecule: long non-coding RNA, 1505 nt
Filed under: Carica papaya (papaya)
Lineage: Eukaryota; Viridiplantae; Streptophyta; Magnoliopsida; Brassicales; Caricaceae
Description: long non-coding RNA (CPAP_LNC006936)
Source: RNAcentral